AACGCACAUUGCACUCCUUGGUAUUCCGAGGAGUAUGCCUGUUUCAGUAUCAUGAGCACCCUCCCGCCUAACCUUUGGGUUUUUGGCGAGGAAUUGGAAUGCGCCGACUCUUCACAGGGUUGGCACUUCUAAAAUGUAGUUCUUGACUGUCACCUAAUACAGCAGUUUGGCCUAAUAGUUUUGGCAUUUAUUGUCAAAUCUUUGGCUAACAUUUGCUCCAGGAGACAGCCUUGAUAAAUACAGAAAAACUCAUUCAAAUUUUGAUCUGAAAUCAGGUAGGGCUACCCGCUGAACUUAA
RNAcentral lists this unclassified non-coding RNA (298 nucleotides) under uncultured fungus. RNAcentral describes it as "partial contains 5.8S ribosomal RNA, internal transcribed spacer 2, and large subunit ribosomal RNA". The record is from RNAcentral. Lineage: Eukaryota; Fungi.